This 483-nucleotide ribosomal RNA is filed under the name uncultured bacterium. RNAcentral's name for it is "partial 16S ribosomal RNA". It matches the Rfam family "Bacterial small subunit ribosomal RNA", at positions 28 to 507 of the family's 1533-position model. The record is from RNAcentral.
GACGAACGCUGGCGGCGUGCUUAACACAUGCAAGUCGAACGCUGAAGCUCAGCUUUUGUUGGGUGGAUGAGUGGCGAACGGGUGAGUAACACGUGAGUAACCUGCCUCCUUCUUUGGGAUAACGCCCGGAAACGGGUGCUAAUACUGGAUAUUCACUGGUCUUCGCAUGGGGGUUGGUGGAAAGGGUUUUUCUGGUGGGGGAUGGGCUCGCGGCCUAUCAGCUUGUUGGUGGGGUGAUGGCCUACCAAGGCUUUGACGGGUAGCCGGCCUGAGAGGGUGACCGGUAACAUUGGGACUGAGAUACGGCCCAGACUCCUACGGGAGGCAGCAGUGGGGAAUAUUGCACAAUGGGCGCAAGCCUGAUGCAGCGACGCCGCGUGGGGGAUGGAGGCCUUCGGGUUGUGAACCUCUUUCGCUCAUGGUCAAGCCGCAACAAUGGUUGUGGUGAGGGUAGUGGGUAAAGAAGCGCCGGCUAACUACGUG